GUUAAUCAUUUUUUGUAGGAUGGCGCUACCCCACCUGCUGGAGCACUACUACGAGGAGAACCAUCGAGGACGACGCAUUGCAGCGGGGGAGGUACUGCCCCUCCUUCGUCCUUGAACCCAUGACCGGUUCUUGGAGAUGCGGUACGACGAUAGGUACACCCCUCUAUUGCCGAGGGCUGGCCUGGACGUUGUAUCGUACCAGGUUCGCCGCGGGUUGCCUAAAAUCAACCCCACGGCGAUCACAGCUUUGGUUGACAGGCUGGAAACUCAUAGUUUCCACCUACCUUGUGGUGAGAUGACAGUGACACUUCAGGAUGCGCAGAAGAUCCUUGAUCUCAGCAUUAGAGGGCGUGCAGUCACCGGCACGUGUGUGUCUCGGGGUUGGAGGGGCUGAGUGGAGGCCUUCCUUGGGAGAGCUCUUCCCGAAGCGGCGCCGAAUUCCCGGACCUCGGGAGUACCUCUUUCCUGGCUCCGUGAGAACUUUGGCGAAUGUCCGGAGGAUGCUAACGCCGAGACUGUGAGCUUCUACUGCAGAGCUUGGAUCCUCCACUUGUUUGGCUCUAUUCUCUUUUCGGACAGCACUGGUGACACCGCUUCUUGGAUGUACCUCCCUUGCCUGACUGAUUGGGACACUGCGGGGGGGGGGG
Panicum virgatum (switchgrass) is the source of this 647-nucleotide long non-coding RNA. RefSeq lists it as uncharacterized. The transcript is spliced from 4 exons. The record is from RefSeq and is a predicted model, not a curated record. Lineage: Eukaryota; Viridiplantae; Streptophyta; Magnoliopsida; Poales; Poaceae.